This 367-nucleotide ribosomal RNA is filed under the name uncultured bacterium. RNAcentral describes it as "bacterial SSU rRNA". It matches the Rfam family "Bacterial small subunit ribosomal RNA", at positions 29 to 408 of the family's 1533-position model. The record is from RNAcentral.
AACGAACGCUGGCGGCAGGCCUAACACAUGCAAGUCGAACGCCGUAGCAAUACGGAGUGGCAGACGGGUGAGUAACGCGUGGGAACAUACCCUCCGGUUCGGAAUAACUCAGGGAAGCUUGAGCUAAUACUGGAUACGUCCAAGGUUUUAAUCGGCCUUGGAGAAAGAUUUAUCGCCGGAGGAUUGGCCCGNGUCUGAUUAGCUUGUUGGUGAGGUAAUGGCUCACCAAGGCGACGAUCAGUAGCUGGUCUGAGAGGAUGAUCAGCCACAUUGGGACUGAGACACGGCCCAAACUCCUACGGGAGGCAGCAGGUGGGGAAUAUUGGACAAUGGGCGCAAGCCUGAUCCAGCCAUGCCGCGUGAGUGA